This 429-nucleotide ribosomal RNA is filed under the name Pseudomonadota bacterium. RNAcentral describes it as "Proteobacteria bacterium partial 16S ribosomal RNA". It matches the Rfam family "Bacterial small subunit ribosomal RNA", at positions 355 to 776 of the family's 1533-position model. Lineage: Bacteria; Pseudomonadati; Pseudomonadota. The record is from RNAcentral.
UGGGGAAUAUUGGACAAUGGGCGAAAGCCUGAUCCAGCCAUGCCGCGUGUGUGAAGAAGGUCUUCGGAUUGUAAAGCACUUUAAGUUGGGAGGAAGGGCAGUAAGCGAAUACCUUGCUGUUUUGACGUUACCGACAGAAUAAGCACCGGCUAACUCUGUGCCAGCAGCCGCGGUAAUACAGAGGGUGCAAGCGUUAAUCGGAAUUACUGGGCGUAAAGCGCGCGUAGGUGGUUCGUUAAGUUGAAUGUGAAAGCCCCGGGCUCAACCUGGGAACUGCAUCCAAAACUGGCGAGCUAGAGUAGGGCAGGGGGUGGUGGAAUUUCCUGUGUAGCGGUGAAAUGCGUAGAUAUAGGAAGGAACGCCAGUGGCGAGGGCGACCACCUGGGCUCGUACUGACACUGAGGUGCGAAAGCGUAGGGAGCAAACAGG